AGUAAAUAAGUGAUUUGCUUUUCAAGUUUAAUCAUACUUACGCGUUUCAUUUUAACUUUAAAGUGAUUGAGGUUGAGGCUUGUACAUUUGCACUAGCAUUAACAAUGAGAAAAUGAGCUGGAUGGAAGGGAUGAUAUAUACGAUAAGUUAUAAUGAGGUUGUCCCUAAUUUUGAGAUGGAAAUAGACUUAUUACUGGAAGAAAAAUACUAUCAGAUUUGGAGAAGUUCUUUUUGGAAAAAGAGGAGUAGAUGAUUCGAUUUGCAAAAAUAUGAAUCUUCAAUUUAGUACAAUUUUCUGUUACUGGCUAGAUGUUAUGAAUAAAAAUGGUGAUGAGGGUUUGUCGCAUUAAAAAAACUUUCACGUUUAGGUCAUAGGAAUCACGAGCGAAGCCUAUCAUUAUUCUGAGAUGGAGUGAUGACCACGCAGUAUGAGUGGCAAAAACGCAUGUCGGUGGCUUGAGCCAACAUAAUCAGAUCGGAGAUGUCAGAAGCCUAAAUACUCACUGCUCCAAUGCAUCUCACCAAUGAUCUGGGAUAUGGAUGUGCAACCUGUGUUGACCCAAGACGAUUCUUCACUCCCAUGAAUUGAGAGGGAUAUUCCUGGGGGAAUAUCCCUGGUAUAGAGUCGCUGCAGAAAAAUCCAGGAACGUUACUCUCUCAAGCUUCAAGAUUUCUAGAGAAGAAUGUCAACAGGCAGGCCAAGUUUGAUGUGAGGUCACCGUAUCCACUACCAAACAGAAUUAUUCAUUCAUUGAAUCUCGUUACGUCAGUCAUCGUGUGGAGAGUGGGCUCAAAUAUGUGACUCCAUCAAUAUCAGCAUCAGUUGAUCAUACAGCAUCUUCACAAGCAGUUCAACUCAUCUGGGGGAAACCAACCUCAGGCAGAAUAAAAAUACGGCGAGUCUGGAAUACAGGUUGGAUAAAAGAGUAAAUGUAUAUAAAAUGGCUAUAAAAUGCCAUACAAUUAAACUGGCCAUUCCAUAAACUUGAUGGCUUGUUGUACCAAAAUAGGAUGAUCGAACAUUUGGAUUCUACAAACUCGCAGAAAAUAUCGUCAGCUAAGAGUUUUGACCGGCUAUCUAUAUUCUUGAGAACAUAUCAAUCAUUAAAGCCCUGCAAACUAGAAAAAAAGGAAUAUUGUAUCUUCUAUGGAAUUCAUGGUCAAACUUUCAUAUACUAUAACUGAAAAAUCUUUAAUAAAUAAGAUUGUUAUCAGAAUAAUUCAAAUUUUGUCCAAAAUUAGAUUUUGGUAUCAUUACUUACUUAUAACCUAUUUCAAAUUUCUGAAAAUUGAAAAGAUUCACAUGAAAAAUCUUUUCUGUAAUUAUUGUAUUUCAAUAUAUUUUGUAAACUUGCAAAUUCAGUUCUUGGGAUUUCCUGUAAAGCUGUGUAAAAUACUCUUAGCUGGCGAUAUUUAAAAUAAUAUGUUGUCAAUCAAUUUUAGUUGUCACAUCAAUAUCAUGCUGUAGUCUACAUUAUUUUUAAUAUUUUAUUCACAUUGAUGAUAAUAUCAUCGAUCAUCUUCCAUCUAAUCGGCAUUGUAGUAAAUUAUUUCAUGUAAGUUCUACUUCUUUCAUUAUUAAUUGAUUAUAAUCAAUAUUCUAUAAAUUUUGAACCAGUUGCUCAAUUAUCAUUAUGAACAGUUUAGCAGCACAAAUGUAAAACAAAUUCCAUUGUUUCAUCAGUUUUGGAGUAGGAACAAUAUUUAGGUAGUGCUGUGCAACGUAGAUUUCUCGGUAAUCGAAUAGUCGGGCUAACAUAUUAAAUAACAGCUUACUGUGGGCUUACAGUAUAAUAAAUAAUUAUGGAUAUGUUUUCGAACGUAGAACAUAUCUUUUUGAAUGUAUUUUACAGCUUUCAAUAGUUCUUUGUCACUUGCUUCCAUGAUUUGUAAACAAAUUCUCAAUAUUUUGUUUGCGGUGGGUGGGGGGGGGAGGUUUCGAACCGUUCCUCAACAAUUUUUGAAGCUGUAUUGGUUUGAGCUACUUUCCCUUACCCUCCCCUCGAUUGCCGCCCUGCUACUGGGAUUUCGACUGUGUUGUUGUGUUGAAUGUCAAUUAUUUGUUUAACCAAAAUCACUUUUAUUCAUCAAUUUUUGUAAACUUAUUAGUAAUACAAGAAUACCCCAACAAAGGGUGAGUAGCCCAGUUUAUUGUGAAAGUGACUAGUGCACUCGACUCACUUUAUGAGAGGGCUGUGUGAGAGCUCCCUGAGCCCUGUUGCAUGAGAAAAAAUCUGGUGUGG
This is a long non-coding RNA of Nilaparvata lugens (brown planthopper), 2243 nucleotides long. RefSeq lists it as uncharacterized. The transcript is spliced from 5 exons. Lineage: Eukaryota; Metazoa; Arthropoda; Insecta; Hemiptera; Delphacidae. The record is from RefSeq and is a predicted model, not a curated record.